AUAUAUAUAUAUAUAUAUAUAUACACAUUUGAAUAUAUGUGGGACAAGUAAGUAUUCUUUAUGCUUCAAGAGAUUUAUAUUAUCACAAUCCUUUCAGUAACAGCCGUGAUAAGUACAUGAUUGGUGAAUUUUAACUUGAGACAAACUAUUCCUUUCCAGAACCUCCAGUGGUGACUGACUUGUCUUUUAUAGAACGCUUUGGAACACAGUAGAUCACGUUGAUUACAUUUUGUCCUGAGCCAGGGCGCAUUGCAUUGUAUUAAACCAGUGGAUUGGAAUCAUUUUUGCUGAUCUAUAUUAAGAUAAUUUUACAAUCAUUGGAUGUUUUGUGACUAUCUUGCCUACAGUGAAGGGUAUAAACCCAACCUCAGUUUUUAAAGGGCUUUGGCAAAGUAGGUAAAUUUGUGCUUUUGCUAAUCAUAAGUGGAAAGAGAGGUAAAUUAUUCCGUAUUAUAAAGCACCAUGAUCAUAGAAUUAGACUGAUUUUAAAUUGCUUCUUUUACUUCGUAUGUAUUGAUCAACUCUUAAAAAAUCAAAAAUGUAUAUGAAAACCCACUAGGUUGGCUGGAAUUGUCUGAAAUAUUUCUCAUUUACUACAAAAAAAGAAGACAUAUGUGCUUGAGCUUCCUGGCAGAUGUUUAAAGGUGUCUGUACAACUUUAACUCUAGAUAUUGCUGUUUGAAGUUUUGAAGUUUUAGGACCUGGGGAGCAGGGUGCAACUUGAUAGCAAAAUCACAGAGUAUGUGCAGAGUGCAAUUUAUUUUGGCAGGUAAAAUAAUUCAUUUUGUAUUGAAAUGUUGGCCCAGAAGAUCAGCUGGGUAAAAACUUGCUAACAGUUGUGGCAGCCCAUGUUAAGUUCAGAAGAGUAAAGAUUGAUGAUUUUUUUUGUUAGAAAUCUCUGGUUUCGUCCUGGCAAACCCAUGUACUAAUUGGACAGGUUGGUGUUUAUUUUGGUGGUCCAUUGGGUAGGAUGUUCUAGUGGUACAGUCAGGGUUGUUUAGGUAGAUCCUUGGGUAGGAUGUUCAGGUGGUAUUGUUAUGAUUUUAUGUACUUAUGUAUAUUGAAAUAGUUGAGCUAUCUUUUGGUGGAACCAUAUAUGAGAUCUUCCCAUGGUGCAAUGAUGCCAUAACUAGGUAAACCUGUCAUAUGGGAGGUGGAGUUAAGCUGAGUAUCAUAUGAAAAUCUUAAGAUCCAAUUGCCUCAAAAGAGCUACACUACAGAUAGUUGGUUUUGUGGAUGUUUUUAAUUGUUCCUUUGGGUAUCCCGUCCCCAUUCUUCUUUGAGUGACAGCUGGUAAGACAGAAAAACUGACAAUUUUCCUGUAACUGUGAGCAAUUUAUGUGCCUCUUGGUUUAUAGUCCCUGGCUAUGUCAAUGAGUUCUCAAGGUCUGUUCUUGAAGACCCUGAACAGUCAUGACAUUGACAGUUUUAGAAUUUCUUCACCUGAGCAAAAGCAGAUUUUCAGGUUCAGUUAGACACGGAUUAAAUUGCUGAGGCUGUAAGGAGCAAUAAAAAUGUUUUGGGGGUUUCUGAUGACCAUCGUUGAGAACCUUUGAGUUGUGCCUAUCUAUUACUGGCUCUGAAUGUACAGACACAUCAGUAUUAUUAUUACGUUCUACUUCAUUCUGAGCUAAACAUGUCACUAUAGUCUAUGUUCCUUGUACAUGGGCCACAGAGAAGCCUGUUAGUUUUCCAAUAACAUGGGAGACUGCAUUAGAAACAAUCAUGUGAUGAAAGAGAGAUACUGUUACAAAGAGAAAACCGAAAUAAGUUUAAAAAAAAAAAGUUAAAGUGGCUCAAAAAUGUCUAAAGCAGCUAAAGAAAAUCUCUCCCCCAAGUAACAAAAAAAUAGAUACAUUGCAAACUAAAUUGAAAUGUAUUUGAAGUGCUAUUUAUUAAUGCGAGGGAUUUUUAAGGCAAAUAAAAUAAAGAUUUUAAUUAAAGAUUAGAAGAGAUAAACAAAGACCUACGCUCUUAGAUUAUAUAUAUAUUUUUUUUUUUUUUUUUUUUUUAAUGGGUUACUGCAUUUAUUUAAAAUUGGUCUUUGUUUCCAUUUUUUUAAAGUCUAUAACUUUUAUUGUAUUCCCUAAAGAUGACUUUGAAACAACAAAUUACCAGCUGGGAAAGAAUGCUGUUAAGUCUAUUCAUUGUCCGUCUUCUGUUGGGUAUAUAGUGUUAUUAUAAGGAUCAAUAAUUAGAAGGACAUGUUUAAAAUGUUUAUUUUUUAUUUGGAAGGCAAAAAAAUAUAUAACUAAAAAUAAGACGUUGAAAAAAGAUGGAAUGCCAUUUCUGUACACAGUACUGUAGCAAUUGAUUUCUAUUUUAGCCAUUACUUAUUAAUGAACUUCUUCAACGCCAGAGAAUCUUUGCAGCAACGAAACUGUAAAUCCUUCCCUGGCGUUUGGACGUUUAUCACCCCUAACCACUGGAAGAGGGGAUUGAAGUGUACGUAUUCCUCUUCCAGAUGGCACGGGGGUUAAGCCUCAAUCGAAUCCUUUUAUGGUUCUUGUACAGUUUUAUUUUUAUUUUUUUGUUUUGCGCGUGGUUGGUUAAAAAAAAAAAUGUAAAAAAAACUUUAAAAAAUGAAAUGUUUUACUUUUUUGUUUUUGUACAUAUUGUAAUGUUAAGAUUGUAAAUUAUUCUAUGGAUGACCACCUCUGGUUUGAGAGGUGCUAAUACGGUCAAUGCUCCUGGUGAGACAUAGAGCUGCAUUCUCUCUGUAUAUUUAUAUGGUGUAAUAUAGACAAACUGAAAAUUGUAAGAGUUGUUAUUUCUGAGAUUGUUGUAUCACAUUGCACUGUUCUCUGUACCUUACCAAAUCAUGAAUUACAACUUCUAAACAGAGUCAUGAAUUACAUGUUGUGUCUGUUUUGAAUUAUAAAUGUUCCAGUACCCACUA
This 2899-nucleotide long non-coding RNA is filed under the name Pelobates cultripes (western spadefoot toad). The record is from RNAcentral. Lineage: Eukaryota; Metazoa; Chordata; Amphibia; Anura; Pelobatidae.